This 84-nucleotide microRNA precursor is filed under the name Bombyx mori (domestic silkworm). Its description in RNAcentral is "mir-2807 microRNA precursor family". It matches the Rfam family "mir-2807 microRNA precursor family". The record is from Rfam by way of RNAcentral. Lineage: Eukaryota; Metazoa; Arthropoda; Insecta; Lepidoptera; Bombycidae.
UUAGCUCAUAUUUGUAUGGAGUUCGAGCCUUUGCGUACGUUUGCCGUUAGGGACGCUGUUCCAACUGCGUACAAAUUUGAAUUA